MicroRNA precursor from Otolemur garnettii (small-eared galago), 92 nucleotides. Lineage: Eukaryota; Metazoa; Chordata; Mammalia; Primates; Galagidae. The record is from Ensembl.
CUGCUAGUCACGAUUAGUUUUGCAGGUUUGCAUUUCAGCGUAUUGUGUAUAUCAGGCUGUGCAAAUCCAUGCAAAACUGAUUGUGAUAAUAU